RNAcentral lists this long non-coding RNA (425 nucleotides) under Sorghum bicolor (sorghum). Its description in RNAcentral is "long non-coding RNA (SBIC_LNC017967)". Lineage: Eukaryota; Viridiplantae; Streptophyta; Magnoliopsida; Poales; Poaceae. The record is from RNAcentral.
GCUUUAUAGGGUCUUGGUUGGCGAAAAGUGCAAGGAAAUCGCGGCUUUCAUGGGAUCGAGUUCGGCACGACUUGUCUCCUACUCGAACACGACUGGAGGUAGGGGAAAGAGAUGCGGCUGACGGGUGGGGCCAGCGUGGCAGUGAGAUAGGAGGGGAGGGAGGAAGUGCAGAUGGGUGGGGCCCAAAGGCAGGGAAAGAAAGAGGGGAGGAAUGCGGGCGCUUGGGCCGAAACGGCUGGGCCGUGUUCAUGACGCGGGAGUUGGAGAGACUAGGCGCGGGGCUGGCUGGGCCUCGGCCUGGUUUUCCUAGGGGCUUCUCCCCUUUAUUAUUUUUUCUUCUUUUCUUUUUUCUGAUUUCUAUUCCAAAACAUUUUCCAAAUAGAAUUUUGAACACAAUUAACUUCAAACCAAAGUCUCUCAGCACA